GUGAGGAAUAUUGGUCAAUGGGCGGGAGCCUGAACCAGCCAAGUCGCGUGAAGGAAGAAGGAUCUAUGGUUCGUAAACUUCUUUUGCAGGGGAAUAAAGUGCAGGACGUGUCCUGUUUUGUAUGUACCCUGAGAAUAAGGAUCGGCUAACUCCGUGCCAGCAGCCGCGGUAAUACGGAGGAUCCGAGAGUUAUCCGGAUUUAUUGGGUUUAAAGGGUGCGUAGGUGGUUUGAUAAGUCAGCGGUGAAAGUUUGCAGCUUAACUGUAAAAAUGCCGUUGAAACUGUCGGACUUGAGUGUAAAUGAGGUAGGCGGAAUGCGUGGUGUAGCGGUGAAAUGCAUAGAUAUCACGCAGAACUCCGAUUGCGAAGGCAGCUUACUAAGCUACAACUGACACUGAAGCACGAAAGCGUGGGGAUCAAACAGGAUUAGAUACCCUAGUAGUCC
This 445-nucleotide ribosomal RNA is filed under the name uncultured bacterium. RNAcentral describes it as "partial 16S ribosomal RNA". It matches the Rfam family "Bacterial small subunit ribosomal RNA", at positions 354 to 796 of the family's 1533-position model. The record is from RNAcentral.